This 414-nucleotide ribosomal RNA is filed under the name uncultured bacterium. RNAcentral's name for it is "bacterial SSU rRNA". It matches the Rfam family "Bacterial small subunit ribosomal RNA", at positions 358 to 769 of the family's 1533-position model. The record is from RNAcentral.
GGAAUAUUGGACAAUGGGUGAGAGCCUGAUCCAGCCAUCCCGCGUGAAGGAUGACGGCCCUACGGGUUGUAAACUUCUUUUGUAUAGGGAUAAACCUACUCUCGUGAGAGUAGCUGAAGGUACUAUACGAAUAAGAACCGGCUAACUCCGUGCCAGCAGCCGCGGUAAUAGGGAGGGUGCAAGCGUUAUCCGGAUUUAUUGGGUUUAAAGGGUCCGUAGGCGGAUUUGUAAGUCAGUGGGGAAAUCUCACAGCUUAACUGUGAAACUGACAUUGAUACUGCAAGUCUGGAGUGUUGUUGAAGUAGCUGGAAUAAGUAGUGUAGCGGUGAAAUGCAUAGAUAUUACUUAGAACACCAAUUGCGAAGGCAGGUUACUAAGCAACAACUGACGCUGAUGGACGAAAGCGUGGGGAGC